RNAcentral lists this ribosomal RNA (253 nucleotides) under uncultured bacterium. RNAcentral describes it as "partial 16S ribosomal RNA". It matches the Rfam family "Bacterial small subunit ribosomal RNA", at positions 524 to 776 of the family's 1533-position model. The record is from RNAcentral.
UACGUAGGGUGCGAGCGUUGUCCGGAAUCAUUGGGCGUAAAGAGCGUGUAGGCGGCCUUUUAAGUCCUGCGUGAAAUCCUGCGGCUCAACCGCAGACGGUCGUGGGAAACUGGAAGGCUAGAGUGCGGGAGAGGAGAGUGGAAUUCCCGGUGUAGCGGUGAAAUGCGCAGAUAUCGGGAAGAACACCCGUGGCGAAGGCGGCUCUCUGGAACGCAACUGACGCUGAGACGCGAAAGCGUGGGGAGCAAACAGG